CCCUUAGAUGUUCUUGGCCGCACGCGCGUUACAAUGAAUCGUUCAACAGGUUUUCUUCCUGAGUCGAAAGGCUUGGGUAAUCCUUUAAAUACGGUUCGUGCUAGGGAUAGAUUUUUGCAAUUAUUAAUCUUGAACGAGGAAUAUUUAGUAAACGCAGGUCAUCAGCCUGCAUUGAUUACGUCCCUGCCCUUUGUACACACCGCCCGUCGCACCAACCGAUUGGAUGUUUUGUUGAAAUAUGUGGAUGUUUUUUGAGUGGAUUAAUUUUCGCUCGAUAGACAGAAACGUAUUAAAACUGAAUAUAUAGAGGAUGGUGAAGUCGUAACA
This 327-nucleotide ribosomal RNA is filed under the name uncultured eukaryote. RNAcentral describes it as "partial 18S ribosomal RNA". It matches the Rfam family "Eukaryotic small subunit ribosomal RNA", at positions 1470 to 1796 of the family's 1831-position model. The record is from RNAcentral.